Molecule: ribosomal RNA, 492 nt
Filed under: uncultured bacterium
Lineage: Bacteria
Description: partial 16S ribosomal RNA
Rfam family: Bacterial small subunit ribosomal RNA
Source: RNAcentral
AUUGAACGCUGGCGGCAUGCUUUACACAUGCAAGUCGAACGGUAACAGGCCUUCGGGUGCUGACGAGUGGCGAACGGGUGAGUAAUGCAUCGGAACGUACCCAGAGGUGGGGGAUAACGCAGCGAAAGCUGUGCUAAUACCGCAUGUGAUCUGAGGAUGAAAGCGGGGGACCGAGCAGCAAUGUUUGGCCUCGCGCCUUUGGAGCGGCCGAUGUCGGAUUAGCUAGUUGGUGGGGUAAAGGCCUACCAAGGCGACGAUCCGUAGCUGGUCUGAGAGGACGACCCGCCACACUGGGACUGAGGCACGGCCCAGACUCCUACGGGAGGCAGCAGUGGGGAAUUUUGGACAAUGGGCGGAAGCCUGAUCCAGCAAUGCCGCGUGCGGGAAGAAGGCCUUCGGGUUGUAAACCGCUUUUGGCAGGAACGAAACGGUGUCCGCUAAUACCGGGCGCUAAUGACGGUACCUGCAGAAUAAGCACCGGCUAACUACGUG